Mustela erminea (ermine) is the source of this 369-nucleotide long non-coding RNA. RefSeq lists it as uncharacterized. The record is from RefSeq and is a predicted model, not a curated record. The transcript is spliced from 3 exons. NCBI's taxonomy places the organism in Eukaryota, Metazoa, Chordata, Mammalia, Carnivora, Mustelidae.
UCGUAAAGGCUGUCCUUGGACUUUAAAUCUCUUGUUUAGCUAGCAAAGCUCUCAAGCUGGUGAUCCCCAGGUCACAGAUAUUGUACCAGUUAUUUAUCGCUGCAAAAAUGCUGCCUAACAAGCCACCCUAAAGGCACUGAAACAAGGAACCAAAGAAAUGGAGUCAAAUGAGAACUUGCCCCUUUUAUGAAGGAACUUGCCGUUGAAUGGGAGAGAUAGGCAAGUCAACCAGGGACCACAGUACAGAGUGAUCUGUCUCCAUCACUUUGGAUUAUGAACACCAGGAGUGAUAUACAAGAACAUAACAAAGACUAUAAACUGAAGAGGACAGGUCAGGAAAGGUUGUUCUAAGCCUGAAACAACCCAAAG